Molecule: ribosomal RNA, 496 nt
Filed under: uncultured bacterium
Lineage: Bacteria
Description: partial 16S ribosomal RNA
Rfam family: Bacterial small subunit ribosomal RNA
Source: RNAcentral
GACGAACGCUGGCGGCGUGCUUAACACAUGCAAGUCGAGCGAUGAAAGCCUUAUGAACUAUUCGUAGUGAUUGGGGCCGGAUUAGCGGCGGACGGGUGAGUAACGCGUGAGCAACCUGCCUUAAACAACAGGAUAGCCUCGGGAAACCGGGAUUAAUACCGUAUGAGACCCCGCCUUCACAUGAAGAAGAGGUUAAAGAUUUAUCGGUUUAAGAUGGGCUCGCGUCUGAUUAGCUAGUUGGUGAGAUAAAAGCCCACCAAGGCAACGAUCAGUAACCGGCUUGAGAGAGAGAACGGUCACAUUGGAACUGAGACACGGUCCAAACUCCUACGGGAGGCAGCAGUGGAGAAUAUUGGGCAAUGGGGGAAACCCUGACCCAGCAACGCCGCGUGAAGGAAGAAGGUUUUCGGAUUGUAAACUUCUGUCCUUGGUGAAGAGAAGAAGACGGUAGCCAAGGAGGAAGCCCCGGCUAACUACGUGCCAGCAGCAGCCGUAA